GACGAACGCUGGCGGCAGGCUUAACACAUGCAAGUCGAACGCCCCGCAAGGGGAGUGGCAGACGGGUGAGUAACGCGUGGGAAUCUACCCAUCUCUGCGGAAUAGCUCUGGGAAACUGGAAUUAAUACCGCAUACGCCCUACGGGGGAAAGAUUUAUCGGGGAUGGAUGAGCCCGCGUUGGAUUAGCUAGUUGGUGGGGUAAAGGCCUACCAAGGCGACGAUCCAUAGCUGGUCUGAGAGGAUGAUCAGCCACAUUGGGACUGAGACACGGCCCAAACUCCUACGGGGGGAAGCAGUGGGGAAUAUUGGACAAUGGGCGCAAGCCUGAUCCAGCCAUGCCGCGUGGGGGAUGAAGGCCUUAGGGUUGUAAAGCUCUUUCACCGAUGAAGAUAAUGACGGUAGUCGGAGAAGAAGCCCCGGCUAACUUCUUGCCAGCCGCCGCGGUAA
This 447-nucleotide ribosomal RNA is filed under the name uncultured bacterium. Its description in RNAcentral is "partial 16S ribosomal RNA". It matches the Rfam family "Bacterial small subunit ribosomal RNA", at positions 28 to 523 of the family's 1533-position model. The record is from RNAcentral.